RNAcentral lists this ribosomal RNA (253 nucleotides) under uncultured bacterium. Its description in RNAcentral is "partial 16S ribosomal RNA". It matches the Rfam family "Bacterial small subunit ribosomal RNA", at positions 524 to 776 of the family's 1533-position model. The record is from RNAcentral.
UACAGAGGUGGCAAGCGUUGUUCGGAAUUACUGGGCGUAAAGCGCACGUAGGCGGACUAUUAAGUCAGGGGUGAAAUCCCGGGGCUCAACCCCGGAACUGCCUUUGAUACUGGUAGUCUUGAGUUCGAGAGAGGUGAGUGGAAUUCCGAGUGUAGAGGUGAAAUUCGUAGAUAUUCGGAGGAACACCAGUGGCGAAGGCGGCUCACUGGCUCGAUACUGACGCUGAGGUGCGAAAGCGUGGGGAGCAAACAGG